CACAGCGGUGCGACGAGAUGCUGCUUCUC
This 29-nucleotide non-coding RNA is filed under the name Homo sapiens (human). Lineage: Eukaryota; Metazoa; Chordata; Mammalia; Primates; Hominidae. The record is from RNAcentral.